Molecule: ribosomal RNA, 1048 nt
Filed under: Lactobacillus sp. LS7
Lineage: Bacteria; Bacillati; Bacillota; Bacilli; Lactobacillales; Lactobacillaceae
Description: bacterial SSU rRNA
Rfam family: Bacterial small subunit ribosomal RNA
Source: RNAcentral
GGAUGAUCCCGCGGCGUAUUAGUUAGUUGGUGAGGUAAAGGCCCACCAAGACGAUGAUACGUAGCCGACCUGAGAGGGUAAUCGGCCACAUUGGGACUGAGACACGGCCCAAACUCCUACGGGAGGCAGCAGUAGGGAAUCUUCCACAAUGGACGAAAGUCUGAUGGAGCAAUGCCGCGUGAGUGAAGAAGGGUUUCGGCUCGUAAAACUCUGUUGUUAAAGAAGAACACCUUUGAGAGUAACUGUUCAAGGGUUGACGGUAUUUAACCAGAAAGCCACGGCUAACUACGUGCCAGCAGCCGCGGUAAUACGUAGGUGGCAAGCGUUGUCCGGAUUUAUUGGGCGUAAAGCGAGCGCAGGCGGUUUUUUAAGUCUGAUGUGAAAGCCUUCGGCUUAACCGGAGAAGUGCAUCGGAAACUGGGAGACUUGAGUGCAGAAGAGGACAGUGGAACUCCAUGUGUAGCGGUGGAAUGCGUAGAUAUAUGGAAGAACACCAGUGGCGAAGGCGGCUGUCUAGUCUGUAACUGACGCUGAGCUCGAAAGCAUGGGUAGCGAACAGGAUUAGAUACCCUGGUAGUCCAUGCCGUAAACGAUGAGUGCUAAGUGUUGGAGGGUUUCCGCCCUUCAGUGCUGCAGCUAACGCAUUAAGCACUCCGCCUGGGGAGUACGACCGCAAGGUUGAAACUCAAAGGAAUUGACGGGGGCCCGCACAAGCGGUGGAGCAUGUGGUUUAAUUCGAAGCUACGCGAAGAACCUUACCAGGUCUUGACAUCUUCUGCCAAUCUUAGAGAUAAGACGUUCCCUUCGGGGACAGAAUGACAGGUGGUGCAUGGUUGUCGUCAGCUCGUGUCGUGAGAUGUUGGGUUAAGUCCCGCAACGAGCGCAACCCUUAUUAUCAGUUGCCAGCAUUCAGUUGGGCACUCUGGUGAGACUGCCGGUGACAAACCGGAGGAAGGUGGGGAUGACGUCAAAUCAUCAUGCCCCUUAUGACCUGGGCUACACACGUGCUACAAUGGACGGUACAACGAGUUGCGAAGUCGUGAGGCUA